This 1475-nucleotide ribosomal RNA is filed under the name Candidatus Pelagibacter sp. Its description in RNAcentral is "bacterial SSU rRNA". It matches the Rfam family "Bacterial small subunit ribosomal RNA". Lineage: Bacteria; Pseudomonadati; Pseudomonadota; Alphaproteobacteria; Candidatus Pelagibacterales; Candidatus Pelagibacteraceae. The record is from RNAcentral.
AAACUUGAGAGUUUGAUCAUGGCUCAGAACGUACGCUGGCGGCACGCCUAACACAUGCAAGUCGAACGAAGUAGCAAUACUUAGUGGCAGACGGGUGAGUAACAUGUGGGUAUCUGCCCUUUGGCCUGGAAUAACACGAGGAAACUUGUGCUAAUACUGGAUAAGUCUUUACGGAGAAAGCUUUAUGCACCAUUGGAUGAGCCCGCACUUGAUUAGUUUGUUGGUGGGGUAAUGGCCUACCAAGACUGUGAUCAAUAGCUGAUUUGAGAGGAUGAUCAGCCACAUUGGGACUGAGACACGGCCCAAACUCCUACGGGAGGCAGCAGUGGGGAAUCUUGCACAAUGGAGGAAACUCUGAUGCAGCGAUGCCGCGUGAGUGAAGAAGGCCCUUGGGUUGUAAAGCUCUUUCGUCGGGGAAGAAAAUGACUGUACCCGAAUAAGAAGGUCCGGCUAACUUCGUGCCAGCAGCCGCGGUAAUACGAAGGGACCUAGCGUAGUUCGGAAUUACUGGGCUUAAAGAGUUCGUAGGUGGUUGAAAAAGUUAGUGGUGAAAUCCCAGAGCUUAACUCUGGAACUGCCAUUAAAACUUUUCAGCUAGAGUAUGAUAGAGGAAAGCAGAAUUUCUAGUGUAGAGGUGAAAUUCGUAGAUAUUAGAAAGAAUACCAAUUGCGAAGGCAGCUUUCUGGAUCAUUACUGACACUGAGGAACGAAAGCAUGGGUAGCGAAGAGGAUUAGAUACCCUCGUAGUCCAUGCCGUAAACGAUGUGUGUUAGACGUUGGAAAUUUAUUUUCAGUGUCGCAGCGAAAGCGAUAAACACACCGCCUGGGGAGUACGACCGCAAGGUUAAAACUCAAAUGAAUUGACGGGGACCCGCACAAGUAGUGGAGCAUGUGGUUUAAUUCGAAGAUACGCGCAGAACCUUACCAACACUUGACAUGUUCGUCGCGACUCUAAGAGAUUAGAGUUUUCGGUUCGGCCGGACGAAACACAGGUGCUGCAUGGCUGUCGUCAGCUCGUGUCGUGAGAUGUUGGGUUAAGUCCCGCAACGAGCGCAACCCUCACUUUUAGUUGCCAUCAUUAAGUUGGGCACUCUGAAAGAACUGCCAGUGAUAAGCUGGAGGAAGGUGGGGAUGACGUCAAGUCCUCAUGGCCCUUACGUGUUGGGCUACACACGUGCUACAAUGGUAUCUACAACAGGAAGCAAGACUGCGAGGUCAAGCAAAUCCUUAAAAGAUACCUCAGUUCGGAUUGCACUCUGCAACUCGAGUGCAUGAAGCUGGAAUUACUAGUAAUCGUGGAUCAGCGUGCCACGGUGAAUGCGUUCCCGGGUCUUGUACACACCGCCCGUCACACCAUGGGAGUUGGUUCUACCUUAAGGCAAGGUUUCAAACCCUUGACCACGGUAUAGUCAGCGACUGGGGUGAAGUCGUAACAAGGUAGCCGUAGGGGAACCUGCGGCUGGAUUACCUCCUUU